RNAcentral lists this ribosomal RNA (381 nucleotides) under uncultured eukaryote. Its description in RNAcentral is "partial 18S ribosomal RNA". It matches the Rfam family "Eukaryotic small subunit ribosomal RNA", at positions 592 to 976 of the family's 1831-position model. The record is from RNAcentral.
CAAUAGCGUAUAUUAAAGCUGUUGCGGUUGAAAAGCUCGUAGUUGGAUUUCUGUCAAGGACAACUGGUCCGCCCCUCGGGUGAGCACAUAGUUUGGUCUUGGCAUCUUGUUGGAAACUGUUGCUGCACUUGGUUGUGUGGCGCAGUGUCCAGCACUUUCACUUUGAGGAAAUUGGAGUGUUUCAAGCAGGCACAUGCCUUUGGACACAGUAGCAUGGAAUAAUUAGAUUGGGCUUUUGCUCCAACUUGUCGGUUUCUGGAGCUGAGGUGAGAAUUAAUGGGGAUUGUUGGGGGCAUCCGAAUUUAGCCGUCAGAGGUGAAAUUCUUGGAUCUGCUAAAGACGGACAACUGCGAAAGCGUUUGCCCAGGAUGUUUUCAUUGA